AACAGAUUUACUUCGGUAAUGACGUUAGGAAAGCGAGCGGCGGAUGGGUGAGUAACACGUGGGGAACCUGCCCCAUAGUCUGGGAUACCACCUGGAAACAGGUGCUAAUACCGGAUAAGAAAGCAGAUCGCAUGAUCAGCUUUUAAAAGGCGGCGUAAGCUGUCGCUAUGGGAUGGCCCCGCGGUGCAUUAGCUAGUUGGUAAGGUAAAGGCUUACCAAGGCGAUGAUGCAUAGCCGAGUUGAGAGACUGAUCGGCCACAUUGGGACUGAGACACGGCCCAAACUCCUACGGGAGGCAGCAGUAGGGAAUCUUCCACAAUGGACGCAAGUCUGAUGGAGCAACGCCGCGUGAGUGAAGAAGGUUUUCGGAUCGUAAAGCUCUGUUGUUGGUGAAGAAGGAUAGAGGUAGUAACUGGCCUUUAUUUGACGGUAAUCAACCAGAAAGUCACGGCUAACUACGUGCCAGCAGCCGCGGUAAUACGUAGGUGGCAAGCGUUGUCCGGAUUUAUUGGGCGUAAAGCGAGCGCAGGCGGAAGAAUAAGUCUGAUGUGAAAGCCCUCGGCUUAACCGAGGAACUGCAUCGGAAACUGUUUUUCUUGAGUGCAGAAGAGGAGAGUGGAACUCCAUGUGUAGCGGUGGAAUGCGUAGAUAUAUGGAAGAACACCAGUGGCGAAG
RNAcentral lists this ribosomal RNA (675 nucleotides) under uncultured Bacilli bacterium. RNAcentral's name for it is "bacterial SSU rRNA". It matches the Rfam family "Bacterial small subunit ribosomal RNA", at positions 68 to 720 of the family's 1533-position model. Lineage: Bacteria; Bacillati; Bacillota; Bacilli. The record is from RNAcentral.